UGGCUCAGAUGGUAAAGCAUCUACCUGCAAUGCAGGAGAUCCAGGUUCGAUCCCUGG
Molecule: transfer RNA, 57 nt
Filed under: Capra hircus (goat)
Lineage: Eukaryota; Metazoa; Chordata; Mammalia; Artiodactyla; Bovidae
Also listed under: 1 other name
Rfam family: tRNA
About the family: Transfer RNA (tRNA) molecules are approximately 80 nucleotides in length. Their secondary structure includes four short double-helical elements and three loops (D, anti-codon, and T loops). Further hydrogen bonds mediate the characteristic L-shaped molecular structure. tRNAs have two regions of fundamental functional importance: the anti-codon, which is responsible for specific mRNA codon recognition, and the 3' end, to which the tRNAs corresponding amino acid is attached (by aminoacyl-tRNA synthetases). tRNAs cope with the degeneracy of the genetic code in two manners: having more than one tRNA (with a specific anti-codon) for a particular amino acid; and 'wobble' base-pairing, i.e. permitting non-standard base-pairing at the 3rd anti-codon position.
Source: Rfam by way of RNAcentral